Molecule: ribosomal RNA, 484 nt
Filed under: uncultured bacterium
Lineage: Bacteria
Description: partial 16S ribosomal RNA
Rfam family: Bacterial small subunit ribosomal RNA
Source: RNAcentral
AUUGAACGCUGGCGGCAGGCCUAACACAUGCAAGUCGAGCGGAUGAAGGGAGCUUGCUCCUGGAUUCAGCGGCGGACGGGUGAGUAAUGCCUAGGAAUCUGCCUGGUAGUGGGGGAUAACGUCCGGAAACGGGCGCUAAUACCGCAUACGUCCUGAGGGAGAAAGUGGGGGAUCUUCGGACCUCACGCUAUCAGAUGAGCCUAGGUCGGAUUAGCUAGUUGGUGGGGUAAAGGCCUACCAAGGCGACGAUCCGUAACUGGUCUGAGAGGAUGAUCAGUCACCCUGGAACUGGAACACGGUCCAGACUCCUACGGGAGGCAGCAGUGGGGAAUAUUGGACAAUGGGCGAAAGCCUGAUCCAGCCAUGCCGCGUGUGUGAAGAAGGUCUUCGGAUUGUAAAGCACUUUAAGUUGGGAGGAAGGGUAGUAAGUUAAUACCUUGCUGUUUUGACGUUACCAACAGAAUAAGCACCGGCUAACUUCGUG